GACGAACGCUGGCGGCGUGCUUAACACAUGCAAGUCGAACGGAGAGGCCUGCUUUCCCUUGUGGAUUGCGGGUACUCGAGUGGCGAACGGGUGAGUAACACGUGAGUGAUCUGCCCCCAACUUGGGUAUAAGCCUGGGAAACUGGGUCUAAUUCCCGAUAGGACUGCAGGGUGGCGCCUGUGGUGGAAAACGAUUUUCUAGUGGUUGGGGAUGAGCUCGCGGCCUAUCAGCUUGUUGGUGGGGUAAUGGCCUACCAAGGCGGCGACGGGUAGCCGGCCUGAGAGGGUGGACGGCCACAUUGGGACUGAGAUACGGCCCAGACUCCUACGGGAGGCAGCAGUGGGGAAUAUUGCACAAUGGGCGGAAGCCUGAUGCAGCGACGCCGCGUGGGGGAUGACGGCCUUCGGGUUGUAAACUCCUUUCGACCGCGAGGAAGCCACCUGGUUGGAAGGGUGGUGACGGUAGUGGUAGAAGAAGCACCGGCUAACUACGUG
Molecule: ribosomal RNA, 494 nt
Filed under: uncultured bacterium
Lineage: Bacteria
Description: partial 16S ribosomal RNA
Rfam family: Bacterial small subunit ribosomal RNA
Source: RNAcentral